RNAcentral lists this ribosomal RNA (369 nucleotides) under Gammarus cf. balcnicus 2 SK19_6. RNAcentral's name for it is "partial 16S ribosomal RNA". The stretch from base 86 to 369 matches the Rfam family "Bacterial large subunit ribosomal RNA", at positions 2078 to 2609 of the family's 2925-position model. Lineage: Eukaryota; Metazoa; Arthropoda; Malacostraca; Amphipoda; Gammaridae. The record is from RNAcentral.
CUGGAUGAAGGUUAAACUAGCUUAUUAAGUUUGUGUGACUAAAUAAGAAAUUAAAGUUAAGGUAAGAAUUCUUUAAUUUUCUAGGGGACGAUAAGACCCUAGAAGCUUAACAAAUAGAGUGUUUGGUUUUGUUUUACAAGUUAAUUUGUUUUACUGGGGCGGUAAAAAUAAUUAAGCUAUUUAUUACUUAAAGGAUCCUUUAAAUAAAGAAAAAAUGGGGUAGUUACUCUAGGGAUAACAGUGCAAUAUUUUUGGAGAGAUCUUAUUGAUAAAUAUGUUUGCAACCUCGAUGUUGAAUUAAAAUGUCUCUAUGACGCAGAAGGUAUAGAAGAAGGUUUGUUCAACCUUUAAAUUUUUACAUGAUCUGAG